RNAcentral lists this ribosomal RNA (369 nucleotides) under uncultured Proteus sp. Its description in RNAcentral is "bacterial SSU rRNA". It matches the Rfam family "Bacterial small subunit ribosomal RNA", at positions 1016 to 1384 of the family's 1533-position model. The record is from RNAcentral. Lineage: Bacteria; Pseudomonadati; Pseudomonadota; Gammaproteobacteria; Enterobacterales; Morganellaceae.
GCCUUCGGGAACUCUGAGACAGGUGCUGCAUGGCUGUCGUCAGCUCGUGUUGUGAAAUGUUGGGUUAAGUCCCGCAACGAGCGCAACCCUUAUCCUUUGUUGCCAGCGCGUGAUGGCGGGAACUCAAAGGAGACUGCCGGUGAUAAACCGGAGGAGGGUGGGGAUGACGUCAAGUCAUCCUGGCCCUUACGAGUAGGCCUACCCACGUGCUACAAUGGCAGAUACAAAGAGAAGCGACCUCGCGAGAGCAAGCGGAACUCAUAAAGUCUGUCGUAGUCCGGAUUGGAGUUUGCAACUCGACUCCAUGAAGUCGAAAUCGCUAGUAAUCGUAGAUCAGAAUGCUACGGUGAAUACGUUCCCGGGCCUUGU